GAGAUUGCCAUUACGAAGUGAACGUCUGAUCUCGAAACUGUAAAACCUAGCACACGUAAUAUUGAAUGCUACUCGAAACGGACGGGGAAAUCGGAACAAUAAUCGUCAAAAACAUGAGCGACAGAUAAGGAUUCGUCUUGGCCUCUAUGGGGCUGUCCAAUCCGGAGACGCCCACGAACUCGGGACAGCACGCGUCUCAGCAAGACCACUCCAGGUGCAAUGCUAGCACUGAGGCACACGACAUGGCCGCUCAGAUGACGAGAUCGACGGCCUAAAUUUUCCGAGCGGAGAUUCGAAGCUGCGUCUCAUCACUUACCAAGAGUGAAACAACCUGAUUUUCGACCUGCUCCAUAUCUUACAUUUUCGCUGUCGUUCUUCAGAUGACGCUGCCUAUGUGUUUUGCCAAAAGCUGGGUUUCUAACGAAAGGCUGUCCGUGUCCAAAAUAUUCCGGUGGAACGCAUUCUGGAUGAACUUUAUGAUUGCGCAAAGGCCCUUGCGCAGCCUUCGGUGCAAUCAUAAAGCUCCUACAGAAUGCCUAUCACCGGAACAUUUGGGACACGAACAGCCUUUCACUGGAAACCCAGCUUCUGGGCAAAACCCAUAAGCAGCGUCAUCCAGAGAGCGACAGUGAAAAUAUAGGACAUAGAGCAGGUC
Drosophila pseudoobscura is the source of this 655-nucleotide long non-coding RNA. RefSeq lists it as uncharacterized. NCBI's taxonomy places the organism in Eukaryota, Metazoa, Arthropoda, Insecta, Diptera, Drosophilidae. The record is from RefSeq and is a predicted model, not a curated record. The transcript has 2 exons.